UACGUAGGUCCCGAGCGUUGUCCGGAUUUAUUGGGCGUAAAGCGAGCGCAGGUGGUUUAUUAAGUCUGGUGUAAAAGGCAGUGGCUCAACCAUUGUAUGCAUUGGAAACUGGUAGACUUGAGUGCAGGAGAGGAGAGUAGAAUUCCAUGUGUAGCGGUGAAAUGCGUAGAUAUAUGGAGGAACACCGGUGGCAAAAGCGGCUCUCUGGCCUGUAACUGACACUGGGGCUCGAAAGCGUGGGGAGCAAACAGG
Molecule: ribosomal RNA, 252 nt
Filed under: uncultured bacterium
Lineage: Bacteria
Description: partial 16S ribosomal RNA
Rfam family: Bacterial small subunit ribosomal RNA
Source: RNAcentral